UUUAAACUCUUGCUUCGCCAUCUGUCUAUUGUAAACCUCGGAACCUUGUGUCGAGUUUAGUUUCGCAAAUCUCCAUAUCCGCUUCCAUGUCCCAAUUUGACCAAUCUGAUUCCUUCAUCUUUCUCUCAAUAACAAGCAAGAAUCUUCCACACACCCAGAUCGAAUUGGCAGUCUCUGAAAUCAUUCACUGUCCCAAGUUUUCAGAUUGUUGAGGAACUGAUUACAUAUUGGAGUACUGGGAGUUGGAAUGGGGGUUGUAGAGGCGAAUUCGAAUUUAGACUCGUCAUUUAGGACUGUGGCAUCACUUAAUGGCAGUCAUUCGGAAGUAAGGUUGGGCAAGAAGCCCAUGGAAGUUGGUGAGUGUUCUUAUAGCCCCAGUUCGAGUAAGAUUAAUAGGCGACUUGUCGCUGCUGUUCGUGAUUUUCCACCCGGUUGUGGAAGGAAUGCUCACUUAAACAAUGGCAUUGCUGGCACUUCUCGGAGCGAACCAAUGGAGAGCAGCAGUGAAUUGGAAGCCUCUGUUGGUGGUGCUUCUGGGAGUGAGCCGGUAGAAAAUCCAGUUUCUGGGGAUAGAAUUGAUGAUGGGAAUGAGUUAGAUGAUAGUGAUUUGAUGAGUGAGGGGCCAGUUGGAACAAGACCAGCAUUAGGGGACCAAGUGUCUGAUUUGCCGGAAAAUCAGUAUCAGUGUAGUGACGAUUCGUCGAUUGUUGAAGGGGCGAGUCCUGUUGGUACUGCUGAUCAGGAUGAGCAUUUAUUUUGCGGCGAUGGAAUUGAUGAUAUACAGAAAGUUGUAAACUUGAUCGUCUCAUCUGCUCAGGUGGGUGGUGAUUCUGAAUUGAUGGAUAGGGGGGUUGCUGUUUGUACUGUGGAGACAGAUACAUCAACAGCCUUAGAGCCUCAAGGAUCUGAUUUGUCAAAGAACCAUUCUCUGGUGCGUGUGGCUACAACGGAUGAGAAGAUGGUUUCUGUGCUGUCAGAUGGAAACUUUGCUUCCAUUUCAGUUUUGAAUGCCAAUGGUCAGGAAAAGACUGUGGCUAGAAGAUAUCCUCCUCGAAGACAUGUGUCAGCUGUUCGAGACGUUCCUCCUUUUUGUGGAAGGAAUGAUGUCCUGGAAGCCAGGAAUCUUGGUGAAGAGCAGUCGGAUAUGGGUGACAAACCAUCCUCCUCUAAUAUGUAUACCUUCAUGCAACAAGCAGGAGAUGAUGAAGUUCAGGAGGAAGAGUUUCACAGGAAUGAAUCAGGAAGGAAUGUUUCUGAAGUAACUGGAGACGGAGUUCAGGGGGAAGAGUUUCACAAGAAUGAUUUGGGAGGGAAUGUUUCUGAAGUAACUGGAGACGGAGUUCAGGAGGAAGAAUUUCACAAGAAUGAAUUGGGAGGAAAUAUUUCUGAAGUAACAGGAGACGGAGUUCAGGAGGAAGAGCCUCACAAGAAUGAAUUGAGAGGGAAUGUUCCUGAAGUAACUGAAUGCAAGGGACAUGCCAUAGAAGAAAUGAAGAGAAAAGAUCAAUGGAAAGUAUAUUCUGGGAUGAAGGUGGUUUUGGAAGAUACAAGAAAACGUGACUUUGAACCUCCUCAAACAAGCAAUGGAUGUCAAGCAACAAGGGAGGAUGGUGUACAUUCAGAGAAGAAAGUGGGGAAGCAAAUUGUGGUAUACCAUGAGAACAGUCCAGGAGGAAAUAAUCAAGGAGAUAGGGUAAUUGUAAUGGGUUUGAUGGCUGCAUCAAAUUGUCCAUGGCCGAAGGCAAAAGAGGUUGAGAAACCUAAACCAAAUGGUGGUAUGAGUGGAAGCAAACGGAAGAAAACAGAUGGUAUGAGUGAAAGAAACAAGAAGAAACUAGGUGGUGGUAGUGAAAGCAAACAGAAAACAGCUGAUUUUGAAUGUCAGCCAGAAGGACCUAAAACUACUCCUAGGACCAAAAGUAACUCAAAAAUUAGACGAAAGCCUCAAAAUGGUGCUGGAGCUAUAGAGUCUGCUAAUCAAGGCACAAGCCAGCAGCUUGUUAUUAGGGAUGAGGAUGCUAUUCCAAUAUCAUGUUAUCCACAUGCGUCACAUGUGUACCCUCCUCCUUUUGGUCAUAGUAGUUCAAGCAAUGAAGUUUGUGAUAAUGGUGCAAUUGUCACCCGAAACAAGGUGAGGGAGACGUUGCGGCUUUUUCAAGCUGUUUAUAGGAAGCUCUUGCAGGAGGAUGAAUCUAAGUCCAAGGAAGGAGGAACCUCUCAUAGAAGGUUUGAUCUUCAAGCAGCAAAGAUCCUAAAGAAAAAAGGUAAAUAUGUAAAUGUAGGCAAACAACUCAUGGGAGCGGUUCCGGGAGUGGAAAUUGGUGAUGAGUUUCAUUACAGAGUGGAACUUCUUAUGAUUGGCCUACAUCGUCAACUUCAAGGGGGUAUAGAUUAUGUUAAGCAUGGGGGGAAGAUCCUUGCAACCAGUAUUGUUGCAUCAGGGGGGUAUGCUGAUUCUUUGGAUAAUUCAAAUACCUUGAUCUAUACCGGGCAAGGAGGAAAUGUGAUAUAUACAGAUAAGGAACCUGAAGAUCAGAAGCUUGAACGGGGAAACCUUGCCUUGAAGAAUAGUCUGAAUGAAAAGAAUCCUGUUAGAGUGAUCCGUGGGUCUGAAUCAUCAGAUGGAAAGUCUCGGACAUAUGUCUAUGAUGGACUGUAUAUGGUAGAGAAAUGUUGGCAAGAUUUGGGGCCCCAUAAUAAGCUUGUUUAUAAGUUUCAACUGAACAGAAUUGGGGGUCAACCAGAGCUUGCUUGGAAAGAGCUGAAGAAGUCCAAAAAAUUUCAAGUACGUGAAGCUGUCUGUCUUGAUGAUAUUUCAGGAGGCAAAGAGCCAAUUCCUAUCUGUGCUAUAAAUACCAUAGACGAUGAGAAACCUCCAUCAUUUGAAUACAUAACUAAAGUGAUAUAUCCUGAUUGGUGUCGUCCGCUUCCUCUCCUGGGUUGCAGUUGUACUGCUGGAUGCUCAGACUCUGAGAAUUGUUCUUGUGCAGUUUUGAAUAAAGGUGAGAUCCCUUAUAACUUUAACGGGGCUAUUGUUGAAGCUAAGCCCCUUGUGUAUGAAUGUGGUCCUUCUUGCAGUUGUCCUCCUUCCUGCCAUAAUAGAGUUAGCCAGUAUGGUAUCAAGUUUCAGCUUGAGGUUUUCAAAACUAAAUCAAGGGGAUGGGGGGUAAGAUCCCUUAACUCAAUUUCUUCUGGAAGUUUUAUUUGUGAGUAUAUAGGAGAGCUCCUUGAAGAGAAGGAAGCUGAAGCAAGAGCUGGUAAUGAUGAGUAUCUGUUUGAUAUUGGGAAUAACUACAAUGACCAUUCUCUUUGGGAUGGGCUUUCGACCUUGAUGCCCAACACACAUUCGAGUUCUUAUGAAAUUGUGGAGGAAGAUUGCUUCACCAUUGAUGCUGCACGCAAAGGAAAUUUAGGGAGAUUUAUCAACCACAGUUGUUCCCCUAAUCUUUAUGCACAAAAUGUUCUCUAUGAUCAUGAGGACAACAGAAUUCCUCACAUUAUGUUCUUUGCUGCUGAGAACAUACCUCCUUUGCAAGAGUUGACGUAUGAUUACAAUUACAUGAUAGAUCAGGUUCGUGAUUCCAAUGGCAAUAUAAAGAAGAAGAAUUGCUAUUGUGGUUCUCCAGAGUGCACCGGCAGGCUGUAUUGAGAUAGACUCAACAAGAGAAUUCUGCUUUAUUAGGAAAGAGUUUUUGUGUGGGUGCUUGGAAGAUUAUUGACAAGUGGUGAAAAUACUAGAUGAUGUUUCUUAACUUCUUUUUUGCUGAAGGACGUUUGCGGCAGCCAAGUGUCUCUUGAUUUUCAAUUGCAUUUGAGGACAGUGUUUAAAGGGAAAUUGGAGGCUGAUUCUGUCUUUAUUCAUCAAACUGUAAAACUUAAUUGGGAACAACAAUGCUUCGGGGUCUUAUUCCUGUUUCAAAGCUGGUGAGUUUAAUGUCGGUUUGAACUAUAGAUUUUUGUAUUUACUUUCCUUCUGCAUUAAUUAAGCACUCAUUUGUUUCACAUGUUAUACUUAUAGAAUAA
This is an RNA transcript of Argentina anserina (silverweed cinquefoil), 4023 nucleotides long. RefSeq lists it as uncharacterized. The transcript has 4 exons. NCBI's taxonomy places the organism in Eukaryota, Viridiplantae, Streptophyta, Magnoliopsida, Rosales, Rosaceae. The record is from RefSeq and is a predicted model, not a curated record.